RNAcentral lists this long non-coding RNA (1646 nucleotides) under Homo sapiens (human). Its description in RNAcentral is "HSALNT0294812". The record is from RNAcentral. Lineage: Eukaryota; Metazoa; Chordata; Mammalia; Primates; Hominidae.
UUCUGCAGAGUCAGGGAAGGCUUCACAAUACAGGUGGCCCCUGAGCAGCUAUGAAGAUUGGGCAGGGCUCUGCCAGAGAAUGAUAGAGGGCUUCAGGAUUCAAAACUUUGAUGAUGGAACAGAUCUGUGAAUGGAGGUGUCAAUGGAUUAACAUGUGUAUUCCCAGAGCCUAUGCAGCCCUUGACUUGGAUGACCAAGUGAAUGAAUAAUAAAUCUGAAGUCCAAGUUAAGCAAAUGCAAAGCCUGGAAGUGUGUGGGAGGCUGCCUGGGGUCCAAAGCUGACAGGAGCAAGCAAACAAGGACAUUGAUUGCCUGCCACAUGCAAGAUUGGGUCCAGGUGCUGAAGAAACACAGAUGUGCUGCAUCCUUGACUUUAAGGAGCAUCCCUGGGUUGGAGGGAUUCUCUGCAGGCUGCUGUGGUGGAGGGAAGAUUUGCCCAACUUACUCUUGGCGCUGGACCCCCUGAGCCAUCUUCACACACCCAGGUGAACUUUGGGAAGGUAACAGCUUUUCAGUUGCAAACCCAAGUGAAUUAGAGCAAAACAGAUCCCACGUGCUUGACACAUGGAAACUUUCAGAGCCAAUGGUUUAUAAACUUACCAAGAGCUGGGGGAGUAAACACAUCCCAGGGAACUGUGGAGCACUUCUCUGGCAUUGAUACACAUAAGCAGAAAGCACAGCCUUCCCCGACACUUGCCUUAAGAUAGUCUUUUGUCUUAGAACCCAGAGGCUUACCUGAGCUAAACCACAUAAAGUGCUUAGUGCGAUGCCUUGAACAUACCAAGCUCUUAAUAAACGCUAAGGUCACUAUUAGCAUUGCUUGUCAUGGAAUAAACCUAGGAUACAUCUAUAAAACUGUCCAUAAUCUUCCUUGCCUUGUGGAAAGUUGUUCCACUAUUCCAACAUCCUUUUAGGGGUUCUCAGCUAAUCUACCUUUCAAAACGAAAAUUUAUUAUACACUUCUUAAGUGCUAGGUAGUUUUGUAUAUUUAUGUGUAUUAUCUCAUUAAAUGAUCUCUCAGCCCUCUGAGAAAAGCACUAUUAUCAUCCAUAUUUCACAGAUGAAGAAAUCGUCAGAGUUUCCAUAUAUCAUUGUCAGAGAUGUUAAGCAACUUGCUUAAGGUUACACAGCCUUAGCAGAAGUACUUGUUUGACUCCAAAGCCUACCAUUAUGCUGGAAUCACUAGAAUCCAGGUGGCCUAUCUGAACCCGGAUUCAGGCAUCUGAAGCUGAAUAGCUGCCAUUCUUGCUUUUAACCUCCUGGUAAAAGCAGGCUAUGCCUGAUCUAUCUAUCUAUCUAUCUAUCUAUCUAUCUAUCUAUCUAUCUAUCUAUCAAUCAUCUAUCUAUCUGUCUAUCUAUCUAUCUAUCAUGGCCUGGCUAUGCCACAUCUAUAUUCCAUGAUGUCCACUGACCAGAGGGUUUCCCUUAUCCAAUCCAUACAUGUGCCAAUAAACAAACAUUUAGUGAGCACCAACAUAGUUGCUUCUCUCCUAUAAUCAACACAGGAAUGGUUAAGUUUGGAAUAAAUUACUUUUCCUAACACUUGCAUAGGACUGGACUGUUUGCUUUCAAAUACUUGGUUUUGCUUCAUGCUCACAACUCUGGGAUAUAGGAAUGAUUAUUUUCAUUUCACAGCUGCAAGAACC